Molecule: ribosomal RNA, 497 nt
Filed under: uncultured bacterium
Lineage: Bacteria
Description: partial 16S ribosomal RNA
Rfam family: Bacterial small subunit ribosomal RNA
Source: RNAcentral
GAUGAACGCUGGCGGCGUGCCUAAUACAUGCAAGUCGAGCGAACAGACGAGGAGCUUGUUCCUCUGACGUUAGCGGCGGACGGGUGAGUAACGCGUGGGUAACCUACCUAUAAGAGGGGGAUAACUUCGGGAAACGGGUGCUAAUACCGGAUAAUAUAUUGAACCACAUGGUUCAAUAGUGAAAGAUGGUUUUGCUUUAAUCUAUAGUGGUAUCCGCGCGGAAUUAGCUAGUUGGUAAGGAAACGCCUUACCAAGGCAACGAUCAGUAGCCGACCUGGGAGGGUGAUCGGCCACACUGGAACUGAAACACGGUCAAGACUCCUACGGAGGGAGCAAGUAGGGAAUCUUCGGCAAUGGGCGAAGGCCUGACGGAGCACCGCCGCGUGAGUAAUGAAGGUCUUCGGAUGGUAAAACUCUGUUAUUAGGGAAGAACAAGUGUGUAAGUAACUAUGCACGUCGUGACGGUAACUAAUCAGAAAGCGACGGCUAACUACGUG